This 393-nucleotide ribosomal RNA is filed under the name uncultured bacterium. RNAcentral describes it as "partial 16S ribosomal RNA". It matches the Rfam family "Bacterial small subunit ribosomal RNA", at positions 338 to 729 of the family's 1533-position model. The record is from RNAcentral.
CCUACGGGCGGCAGCAGUGAGGAAUAUUGGUCAAUGGGCGGAAGUCUGAACCAGCCAUGCCGCGUGCAGGAAGACGUCUCUAUGAGUUGUAAACUGCUUUUGUACAAGGGUAAACCUGAAUACGUGUAUUCAGCUGAAAGUACUGUACGAAUAAGGAUCGGCUAACUCCGUGCCAGCAGCAGCGGUAAUACGGAGGAUCCAAGCGUUGCCGGAUUUGUUGGGGGUAAAGGGUGCGUAGGCGGAUGGAUAAGUUGGAGGUGAAAUGCCCGAGCUUAACCCGGGAACUGCCUCUGAUACUGUUGAUCUAGAGAGUAGAUGAGGUAGGCGGAAUGUAUGGUGUAGCGGUGAAAUGCUUAGAGAUCAUAAAGAACACCGAUGGCGAAGGCAGCUUAC